GGCGUGCUUAACACAUGCAAGUCGAGCGGUAAGGCCCUUCGGGGUACACGAGCGGCGAACGGGUGAGUAACACGUGGGUGAUCUGCCUCGCACUUCGGGAUAAGCCUGGGAAACCGGGUCUAAUACCGGAUAUGACCACUGAUCGCAUGGUCGGUGGUGGAAAGAUUUAUCGGUGCGAGAUGGGCCCGCGGCCUAUCAGCUUGUUGGUGAGGUAACGGCUCACCAAGGCGACGACGGGUAGCCGACCUGAGAGGGUGACCGGCCACACUGGGACUGAGACACGGCCCAGACUCCUACGGGAGGCAGCAGUGGGGAAUAUUGCACAAUGGGCGAAAGCCUGAUGCAGCGACGCCGCGUGCGGGAUGACGGCCUUCGGGUUGUAAACCGCUUUUGACAGGGACGAAGCGCAAGUGACUGUACCUGUAGAAUAAGGACCGGCCAACUACGUGCCAGCAGCCGCGGUAAUACGUAGGGUCCGAGCGUUGUCCGGAAUUACUGGGCGUAAAGAGCUUGUAGGCGGUUCGUCGCGUCGUUUGUGAAAACUUGGGGCUCAACCUUAAGCUUGCAGGCGAUACGGGCGGACUAGAGUACUUCAGGGGAGACUGGAAUUCCUGGUGUAGCG
This 622-nucleotide ribosomal RNA is filed under the name Nocardia sp. Sp080513GE-01. Its description in RNAcentral is "bacterial SSU rRNA". It matches the Rfam family "Bacterial small subunit ribosomal RNA", at positions 41 to 680 of the family's 1533-position model. Lineage: Bacteria; Bacillati; Actinomycetota; Actinomycetes; Mycobacteriales; Nocardiaceae. The record is from RNAcentral.